This 464-nucleotide ribosomal RNA is filed under the name uncultured bacterium. Its description in RNAcentral is "partial 16S ribosomal RNA". It matches the Rfam family "Bacterial small subunit ribosomal RNA", at positions 28 to 506 of the family's 1533-position model. The record is from RNAcentral.
GACGAACGCUGGCGGCGUGCUUAACACAUGCAAGUCGAACGGAAAGGCCCCUUUGGGGGUACUCGAGUGGCGAACGGGUGAGUAACACGUGAGUAACCUGCCCUUGACUUCGGGAUAACUUCAGGAAACUGGGGCUAAUACCGGAUAGGAAUCCUUGCUGCAUGGUGGGGGUUGGAAAGCUUCGGCGGUUUUGGAUGGACUCGCGGCUUAUCAGCUUGUUGGUGGGGUAGUGGCUUACCAAGGCUUUGACGGGUAGCCGGCCUGAGAGGGCGACCGGCCACAUUGGGACUGAGAUACGGCCCAGACCCCUACGGGGGGCAGCAGUGGGGAAUAUUGCAAAAUGGGGGGAAGCCUGAUGCAGCAACGCCGCGUGCGGGAUGACGGCCUUCGGGUUGUAAACCGCUUUCAGCAGGGGCGAAGCUUGGGGUGACGGUACCGGAAAAAGAAGCACCGGCUAACUACGU